GGACGCUAGGGGCCUGGCCGGGAGAGUGAUCUGCCUUACAAGCAGAGGGUCGGCGGUUCGAUCCCGUCAGCGUCCACCA
This 79-nucleotide transfer RNA is filed under the name Paenibacillus larvae. Its description in RNAcentral is "tRNA-OTHER". It matches the Rfam family "tRNA". Rfam says of the family: Transfer RNA (tRNA) molecules are approximately 80 nucleotides in length. Their secondary structure includes four short double-helical elements and three loops (D, anti-codon, and T loops). The record is from RNAcentral. Lineage: Bacteria; Bacillati; Bacillota; Bacilli; Caryophanales; Paenibacillaceae.